CUGUAUAGCCUGCUAACUUUCC
RNAcentral lists this microRNA (22 nucleotides) under Bombyx mori (domestic silkworm). Its description in RNAcentral is "bmo-let-7-3p". Its record names the gene bmo-let-7-3p. Lineage: Eukaryota; Metazoa; Arthropoda; Insecta; Lepidoptera; Bombycidae. RNAcentral also lists the same sequence under 1 other name. The record is from miRBase by way of RNAcentral.